Long non-coding RNA from Panicum virgatum (switchgrass), 656 nucleotides. RefSeq lists it as uncharacterized. NCBI's taxonomy places the organism in Eukaryota, Viridiplantae, Streptophyta, Magnoliopsida, Poales, Poaceae. The record is from RefSeq and is a predicted model, not a curated record. The transcript has 2 exons.
AGGGGCAAGCGGCAGCACUGGUUGGCGCCCACAAGAUCUGGUCCCUUGACCUUCGUGCCAUCUUCACUGGUCCUAGCAGCUCACGCCGGUGGCCUAGCGGCUUGUUUAUUGUUGCCUUUGCAGGUUGCUUAUGUCGGCUGUCUGCAUAUCAUCUGAUCUGUUGCUUCUUUGACUUACAGUGCUUCAUUCCGGUUUCAGCGGUAGCAGCUCUUGCCUCUGUUCAGGAACUGCCACAAACUAACCUUGGGUUCAGGGUGCCAAAUUGAAUAGCUGCCGCAGGGCUUGCACGGGUCCUGGAGAAGCUUGGGAUAUAUUGCGACGUUGAGCAGCAGUGAACGGAGGAUCAUUCAAGCACCACACUAAAUUACGUGAAUGCAUGAAGAUUACAAUGGGAAUAUGGUAGGAGACUAGGUAUCUAAGUUAGUGGCCGUAAAGCAUGCAGGUAACUGUUAAUGAAUAGGUGCUGCGAGAUGUAAAUGAAAUGUGGACUGUGAGAAUAGGUUCUACCCUGAUGUAUAAAUGAAAUGUGGAUUGUGAUAAUGACCUUGACCGCAAGAAAGCAUAUCUUUUCUCCAACUCAAAUUAGCUGUUAUUGGCCACUUUUGUUGACAGUUUUAGAAACCAGUUUGAUUAUCAAUGAUUCAAUAUUAUGUACA